AAGAUAAAGACCAUCCUGCCAGUACCGAAACAGCCCCGUUGGGCCCAAGGCUCUGGAAGAGAAUUCAAGGCUGCAGCCUCGGCCACCCGCAAUCUGCCUUCUCAGGAGCAGCAGGUGGAGCAUGGGUAGACACUGUUACCGAGUACCGAGAGUCGCCAGCUUUCCACCCUGCAGCAGAUGUGGAAGCUGGGAUUUCAGCGCGGACACCCCAAGUCCAGGCGCAGGAGGUUCUCAGCCGGAAGGAAGGGUCUGGAGUUCCCACCCAGCUUGGCUUCUCGGGACCCAUCAUGUCUGUGUAUAAAAUGAGAUAGAGGCUCUCUGUGUGCCAGGCAGCAGGAAGACAGGGCUGGAGGGCAGUGGCACAAGGAGCCUUCUCUGCUGU
Sapajus apella (tufted capuchin) is the source of this 382-nucleotide long non-coding RNA. RefSeq lists it as uncharacterized. The record is from RefSeq and is a predicted model, not a curated record. The transcript has 3 exons. Lineage: Eukaryota; Metazoa; Chordata; Mammalia; Primates; Cebidae.